GCUUGUCUCAAAGAUUAAGCCAUGCAUGUCUAAGUAUAAAUAUCUAUACUGUGAAACUGCGUAUGGCUCAUUAAAUCAGUUAUAGUUUAUUUGAUGGUCCUUGCUACUUGGAUAACCGUAGUAAUUCUAGAGCUAAUACAUGCAUAAAUCCCCGACUGUUUGGAAGGGGUGUAUUUAUUAGAUGGAAACCAAUUCGGGGCAACCCGGCUCAUGGUGAUUCAUAAUAACUUUCGGAUCGACCUUUCGGUCGAUGCAUCAUUCAAGUUUCUGCCCUAUCAGUUUUGGAUGGUAGGGUAUUGGCCUACCAUGACUUUAACGGGUAACGGAGAAUUAGGGUUCGAUUCCGGAGAGGGAGCCUGAGAAAUGGCUACCACAUCCAAGGAAGGCAGCAGG
This 393-nucleotide ribosomal RNA is filed under the name uncultured Synurales. RNAcentral's name for it is "partial small subunit ribosomal RNA". It matches the Rfam family "Eukaryotic small subunit ribosomal RNA", at positions 30 to 432 of the family's 1831-position model. The record is from RNAcentral. Lineage: Eukaryota; Synurophyceae; Synurales.